AUCGCAUCAAUUUGCCUCGCUCACGAAUGCAUCCGGUCACCAAAAGUUCUAGCCGUCGCCGUGUGGCCGAGCGAGGCAAGGGGAGAGAUGUCGUCGCCGAUGCCCCGUGUUCUCGAUGUCGUUCGGGUUCCAAGAAGAAGGCAGAGAGAUUUGGGAGCUCGUGUGGAGGCUUCAACAGUCUUUAAUUCGACGAGAGGAGCUAUGGGCCCAAGGGAAUCGCUGGCCGGAGCUGUGCAGCUGCACCACGCUGCGGGUCGGAUCACCUACUGCACCAUCUCUGAUUUUUUAUCCGGCGAGCACAGCAGCUGUAUAUGCAGUAAAUUCUAAAAUAUAUCAUCCAUGAGACAAGUAUAUAAUGGAGUAUACUUUUAUUUAGUGCA
Zea mays is the source of this 380-nucleotide long non-coding RNA. RefSeq lists it as uncharacterized. Lineage: Eukaryota; Viridiplantae; Streptophyta; Magnoliopsida; Poales; Poaceae. The transcript has 2 exons. The record is from RefSeq and is a predicted model, not a curated record.